GACGAACGCUGGCGGCGUGCCUAAUACAUGCAAGUAGAACGCUGAAGAGAGGAGCUUGCUCUUCUUGGAUGAGUUGCGAACGGGUGAGUAACGCGUAGGUAACCUGCCUUGUAGCGGGGGAUAACUAUUGGAAACGAUAGCUAAUACCGCAUAACAAUGGAUGACACAUGUCAUUUAUUUGAAAGGGGCAAUUGCUCCACUACAAGAUGGACCUGCGUUGUAUUAGCUAGUAGGUGAGGUAACGGCUCACCUAGGCGACGAUACAUAGCCGACCUGAGAGGGUGAUCGGCCACACUGGGACUGAGACACGGCCCAGACUCCUACGGGAGGCAGCAGUAGGGAAUCUUCGGCAAUGGGGGCAACCCUGACCGAGCAACGCCGCGUGAGUGAAGAAGGUUUUCGGAUCGUAAAGCUCUGUAGUAAGUCAAGAACGAGUGUGAGAGUGGAAAGUUCACACUGUGACGGUAGCUUACCAGAAAGGGACGGCUAACUACGUG
This 497-nucleotide ribosomal RNA is filed under the name uncultured bacterium. Its description in RNAcentral is "partial 16S ribosomal RNA". It matches the Rfam family "Bacterial small subunit ribosomal RNA", at positions 28 to 507 of the family's 1533-position model. The record is from RNAcentral.